UGCUAAUUUAAGCUGCUGCAUUAAUGUUCCAUUCUUCCUUUCCAUUAGCCCUGCUGCUGCUUCUGGUUUAUAGGUGAGAUGGUCCUCCAUUCAAAGUCAAGUUCGUUUGCCCAGCUUGCACAUCAUGACCUUGGAAAUGCACCCUCAUCACUGUCUACUUGACAAGGACAUCCAUACGUGGUGCUCAGCUUCUCUAAUCUCCUGAUGAUGAUGGAGACGUGGAGACGUGGAGAUGACGAAGCUUGGCGAGGCCAGAAGUGUUGUCCUCACAAACCAAGGCAUAUCUAGAACACUCAUGCAGAGGGAGGCAGCUGCCGUAAUCAAUCUGCCAGUCCCUCACAGGUUGGGAACUCCGAUGGCGUCUUUGGAUAGAAGUCACCCACCUGGGUACCAAGGUGACCACUUCCUGGGCAUCCAGUCUGCUGUGUCUACUAAACGGUCAGUUGCUAGGGCUCAUCCCGAAGCUAGGGCAUCACCUUCCUGAUUGCUUGGGGUGCCCGCGGCUUAUGAACCAGACAUGGAAGACAGCAGGACCACCUGAAGCCCUUGCAGGCAAACUCAAAUGUCC
RNAcentral lists this long non-coding RNA (568 nucleotides) under Mustela putorius furo (domestic ferret). Its description in RNAcentral is "lncRNA (ENSMPUG00000030718.1)". The record is from RNAcentral. Lineage: Eukaryota; Metazoa; Chordata; Mammalia; Carnivora; Mustelidae.